UACGAAGGGGGCUAGCGUUGUUCGGAUUUACUGGGCGUAAAGCGCACGUAGGCGGAUCGUUAAGUCAGGGGUGAAAUCUCGGAGCUUAACUCCGAAACUGCAUUCGAUACUGCCGUGCUUGAGGACUGGAGAGGAGACUGGAAUUUACGGUGUAGCGGUGAAAUGCGUAGAUAUCGUAAGGAAGACCAGUGGCGAAGGCGGGUCUCUGGACAGUUCCUGACGCUGAGGCACGAAGGUCAGGGGAGCAAACGGG
Molecule: ribosomal RNA, 253 nt
Filed under: uncultured bacterium
Lineage: Bacteria
Description: partial 16S ribosomal RNA
Rfam family: Bacterial small subunit ribosomal RNA
Source: RNAcentral